CUGCAAAGGAAACAAACAUUCAAACCUCCGAAUGGCGUGGGUCUUCUCUAGGGUGUGUGCCUGUCAACAAGUCACCAGUUCUGGAAGAGCUAAGGGGAAUGUGUGAGUUGCAGGGAGCCCACGGAGGGCUUUUCCUGGAGAAGGCUGUUUACCAGGAGGCGCGUGCUUGCUUCCAGGAAGAGAAAACCCUGUUACACAGAGGAUGAAUUGAUUUAUGCAGACAGUUUAAAGGGUGUUCGCAGCUCUGAGGAAUGCAAGCGGCAGCAUGAUUUGAAGAGAUAACUACUAACCUGAGCUCAGAGUUUAUCAUUCCGGUUCAUUGAACAAAAGAGUCAUGGGACCAAAGAGAUGGCUCAGCAGUCUCUGCUGGCAAAUCUGCUGUCUAGACAUCCAAGUUUCUCUUGAUGAACGUUGUUUGCUCCGACUUCUUCUCCAGCAUAAACAAGGUUGGCAUGAACUCCCCUGUCGUGUCUUACUAUGCUCAUGAAAAACCUUUCACUCAGGACUGGAAAGAUUUUGGAAUUUCAGGCACAAAAGCCUCUACUUAAUAUUUUUUGAUGCAAGAUUCGAUCACAGCCAGGCCAUUUCUUUGGUUUUUUUCAACCUGUUAAACAUGUACACAGUGAUUUCCACCACUCUCACCAGAAAUGCUCUGAAGAAGGACAAUUCGGUUCUAAAUAAAAGCACUUUUUGAUCAUC
RNAcentral lists this long non-coding RNA (699 nucleotides) under Rattus norvegicus (Norway rat). RNAcentral's name for it is "long non-coding RNA NONRATT002119". Lineage: Eukaryota; Metazoa; Chordata; Mammalia; Rodentia; Muridae. The record is from RNAcentral.